UUAUGCAAUGAACUUAAAAUUCAUUUAUAAAGAUUAAUCUUUUUUUAGAA
RNAcentral lists this transfer RNA (50 nucleotides) under Tuberculatus yokoyamai. RNAcentral's name for it is "partial tRNA-Leu". Lineage: Eukaryota; Metazoa; Arthropoda; Insecta; Hemiptera; Aphididae. The record is from RNAcentral.